This 722-nucleotide ribosomal RNA is filed under the name uncultured fungus. RNAcentral describes it as "eukaryotic LSU rRNA". The stretch from base 282 to 435 matches the Rfam family "5.8S ribosomal RNA". The record is from RNAcentral. Lineage: Eukaryota; Fungi.
AGUAAAAGUCGUAACAAGGUUUCCGUAGGUGAACCUGCGGAAGGAUCAUUAAUGAAACAUGUCAGGAGGAUCAUUCUGCUGCUGGGUCUUCAAAGGACCAUGUGCACGUUUGAGCCUUUCCUUGACCAUUUCAUCCUUUCAAACCCCUGUGCACUUGAAAUUCAAAGGAGCCCUCUGAAUCGGGUUCACGCUCGAGGAUGAGACCUUUGGAUUCUCUUUAACAAACUCUUAUCUUUAAAUCAAAGAAAGUUUUAUUAUGCCGAAAGGCAGAAUCUAAAUACAACUUUUAACAACGGAUCUCUUGGCUCUCGCAUCGAUGAAGAACGCAGCGAAGUGCGAUAAGUAAUGUGAAUUGCAGAAUUCAGUGAAUCAUCGAAUCUUUGAACGCACCUUGCGCUCCUUGGUAUUCCGAGGAGCACGCCUGUUCGAGUGUCAUGAAAUUCUCAAGCAGAAAGUUUUUCGAAAUUUUCGUGCUUGGAUUUGGGCUUUGCUGUGAAAACGGCUGGUCUUAAAUGCAUUAGCUAGUCUCUUGAUUGUAGAUCUGGUUCUACUCGACGUGAUAAUUAUCGAUCGUUGAGGACAUCGCUCGUCGCAAGACUUGAGGUGGCCAGGACUCUCAAAGAUUGCUUCUAAUCGUCUUCUUGCAAGACAAAUACUUCAUGAUUUGACCUCGAAUCAGGUGGGACUACCCGCUGAACUUAAGCAUAUCAAUAAGCGGAGGA